UUUGGUAUGUGUGACUGGCGUAAACGUGGACAAACCACGGGGGAGCACAUAUUAUUAUCCGCCGUACGCCUGGGCAAAGUAU
This 82-nucleotide non-coding RNA is filed under the name Paenibacillus stellifer. RNAcentral describes it as "ZTP sequence". It matches the Rfam family "ZMP/ZTP riboswitch aptamer (pfl RNA motif)". Rfam says of the family: Previously known as pfl RNA. ZMP is also known as AICAR. The record is from Rfam by way of RNAcentral. Lineage: Bacteria; Bacillati; Bacillota; Bacilli; Caryophanales; Paenibacillaceae.